GACGGAGGGUGCAAGCGUUGUUCGGAUUGACUGGGCGUAAAGGGCGUGUAGGCGGUUUGUCAAGUCGGGUGUGAAAGCCUGGGGCUCAGCCCCAGAAGUGCAUCCGAAACUAGCGAGCUAGAGCGCGAUAGAGGAGACUGGAAUUCACGGUGUAGCAGUGAAAUGCGUAGAUAUCGUGAGGAAGACCAGUGGCGAAGGCGGGUCUCUGGGCCGAUACUGACGCUGAGAAGCGAAAGCGUGGGGAGCGAACAGG
RNAcentral lists this ribosomal RNA (253 nucleotides) under uncultured bacterium. RNAcentral's name for it is "partial 16S ribosomal RNA". It matches the Rfam family "Bacterial small subunit ribosomal RNA", at positions 524 to 776 of the family's 1533-position model. The record is from RNAcentral.